CCUACGGGGGGCUGCAGUAGGGAAUCUUCCACAAUGGACGAAAGUCUGAAGGAGCAACGCCGCGUGGGUGAUGAAGGGUUUCGGCUCGUAAAACACUGUUGUAAGAGAAGAAUGACAUUGAGAGUAACUGUUCAGUGUGUGACGGUAUCUUACCAGAAAGGCACGGCUAAAUACGGGCCCGCAGCCGCGGUAAUACGUAUGUUCCUAGCGCUAUCCGGAUUUAUUGGGCGUAAAGCGAGCGCAGACGGUUAGUUAAGUCCGAAGUGAAAGCCCAGAGCUUAACUGUGGAAGUGCUUUGGAUGCUGGAUAACUUGAGUGCAGUAGAGGAGAGUGGAACACCAUGUGUAGCGGUGAAAUGCUUAGAUAUAUGGAAGAACACCAGUGGCGAAGGCGGCUCUCUGGACUGUAACUGACGCUGAGGCUCGAAAGUGUGGGUAUCAAACAGGAUUAGAUACCCCAGUAGUC
Molecule: ribosomal RNA, 465 nt
Filed under: uncultured Weissella sp.
Lineage: Bacteria; Bacillati; Bacillota; Bacilli; Lactobacillales; Lactobacillaceae
Description: bacterial SSU rRNA
Rfam family: Bacterial small subunit ribosomal RNA
Source: RNAcentral